Molecule: ribosomal RNA, 247 nt
Filed under: uncultured bacterium
Lineage: Bacteria
Description: partial 16S ribosomal RNA
Rfam family: Bacterial small subunit ribosomal RNA
Source: RNAcentral
AUACGUAGGGGGCAAGCGUUAUCCGGAUUUACUGGGUGUAAAGGGAGCGUAGACGGCACUGCAAGUCUGGAGUGAAAGCCCGGGGCUCAACCCCGGGACUGCUUUGGAAACUGUGGAACUGGAGUGCAGGAGAGGUAAGUGGAAUUCCUAGUGUAGCGGUGAAAUGCGUAGAUAUUAGGAGGAACACCAGUGGCGAAGGCGGCUUACUGGACUGUAACUGACGCUGAGGUGCGAAAGCGUGGGGAGC